CCUACGGGUGGCAGCAGUGAGGAAUAUUGGUCAAUGGACGCAAGUCUGAACCAGCCAUGCCGCGUGCAGGAAGACUGCUCUAUGAGUUGUAAACUGCUUUUGUACGGGGGUAAACUCAGACACGCGUAUCUUUCUGAAAGUAUCUUACGAAUAAGGAUCGGCUAACUCCGUGCCAGCAGCCGCGGUAAUACGGAGGAUUCAAGCGUUAUCCGGAUUUAUUGGGUUUAAAGGGUGCGUAGACGGGUGGAUAAGUUAGUGGUGAAAUCCCGAGGCUCAACUUUGGAAUUGCAACUGAUACUGUUAGGCUAGAGAGUAGUUGCGGUAGGCGGAAUGUAUGGUGUAGCGGUGAAAUGCUUAGAGAUCAUAAAGAACACCGAUUGCGAAGGCAGCUUACCAAGCUGCUACUGACGUUGAGGCACGAAAGCGUGGGGAGCAAACAGGAUUAGAUACCCCAGUAGUC
RNAcentral lists this ribosomal RNA (460 nucleotides) under uncultured bacterium. RNAcentral's name for it is "partial 16S ribosomal RNA". It matches the Rfam family "Bacterial small subunit ribosomal RNA", at positions 338 to 795 of the family's 1533-position model. The record is from RNAcentral.